This 686-nucleotide unclassified non-coding RNA is filed under the name Bradyrhizobium sp. STM 3066. RNAcentral's name for it is "partial 16S-23S ribosomal RNA intergenic spacer". The stretch from base 568 to 686 matches the Rfam family "Bacterial large subunit ribosomal RNA", at positions 1 to 118 of the family's 2925-position model. Lineage: Bacteria; Pseudomonadati; Pseudomonadota; Alphaproteobacteria; Hyphomicrobiales; Nitrobacteraceae. The record is from RNAcentral.
UUGGUUAGAGCGCGCGCUUGAUAAGCGUGAGGUCGGAAGUUCAAGUCUUCCCAGGCCCACCACUUUCAUCGAGUGAGCAUUCGUCUUCUGGUUACGGGGCCAUAGCUCAGCUGGGAGAGCGCGUGCUUUGCAAGCAUGAGGUCGUCGGUUCGAUCCCGUCUGGCUCCACCAGAUGGUUUGAUCACCAACGGCGUAACCGUCGUCCGCGAAACAUCACUUCGCACUCAUUGGUCCGGAUGGACGGUGACGUGCGUGUUUUCUGACAUCGUAAAGAGGAGAUCGAUCCGAGUUUGGAUCAAGCGAAGCAAUUCGCCUGAACCAUUCACUAUCUCCGGGAUCAUUUCGGCGCUCGCUUCAUUCGUGAGAUUGAAUGCGGGUUGUAAAUGAUCUCUGUUAGCGAAGCUUGACCGCCUCGCUAUCGGGCCGAUCUUACGAAGCAAGCUGGUCUUUCUAGUCAAUGUCCGGCUGCGCAAUCGCAUUCAUCGAGGAUGCGCGCCUGAGACUUCGGUCUUUGGGCAGUUGUGCAGACAACAUUCUGCCGAGUGUGUGGACAUUGAUAAUGAGAGCAAUCAAGUGCCUUAAGGGUGUUCGGUGGAUGCCUUGGCGCUGAGAGGCGAUGAAGGACGUGCUACGCUGCGAUAAGCCGUGGGGAGCUGCGAAGAAGCUUUGAUCCGCGGAUUUCCGAA